RNAcentral lists this ribosomal RNA (529 nucleotides) under uncultured bacterium. RNAcentral describes it as "bacterial SSU rRNA". It matches the Rfam family "Bacterial small subunit ribosomal RNA", at positions 33 to 556 of the family's 1533-position model. The record is from RNAcentral.
ACGCUACCGGCAGGCUUAAUACAUGCAAGUCGUGGGGCAGCACAGGGUAGCAAUACUUGGGUGGCGACCGGCAAACGGGUGCGGAACACGUACGCAACCUUCCUUCAGGCGGGGAAUAGCCCAGAGAAAUUUGGAUUAAUACCCCAUAAGAUUUUGAGAUGGCAUCAUCUUAUUAUUAAAGAUUUAUCACCUGAAGAUGGGCGUGCGGCUGAUUAGGUAGUUGGCGGGGUAACGGCCCACCAAGCCUACGAUCAGUAGCUGAUGUGAGAGCAUGAUCAGCCACACGGGCACUGAGACACGGGCCCGACUCCUACGGGAGGCAGCAGUAAGGAAUAUUGGUCAAUGGACGCAAGUCUGAACCAGCCAUGCCGCGUGGAGGAUGAAGGUCCUCUGGAUUGUAAACUUCUUUUAUCUGGGACGAAAAAGGGUUUUCUAACUCGUCUGACGGUACCAGAUGAAUAAGCACCGGCUAACUCCGUGCCAGCAGCCGCGGUAAUACGGAGGGUGCAAGCGUUAUCCGGAUUCACUG